AACGAACGCUGGCGGCAUGCCUAACACAUGCAAGUCGAACGAGACCUUCGGGUCUAGUGGCGCACGGGUGCGUAACGCGUGGGAACCUGCCCUUAGGUUCGGAAUAACUCCCCGAAAGGGGUGCUAAUACCGGAUAAUGUCUUUGGACCAAAGAUUUAUCGCUUUUGGAUGGGCCCGCGUUGGAUUAGCUAGUUGGUAGGGUAAAAGCCUACCAAGGCGACGAUCCAUAGCUGGUCUGAGAGGAUGAUCAGCCACACUGGGACUGAGACACGGCCCAGACUCCUACGGGAGGCAGCAGUGGGGAAUAUUGGACAAUGGGCGAAAGCCUGAUCCAGCAAUGCCGCGUGAGUGAUGAAGGCCUUAGGGUUGUAAAGCUCUUUUACCCGGGAUGAUAAUGACAGUACCGGGAGAAUAAGCUCCGGCUAACUCCGUG
RNAcentral lists this ribosomal RNA (433 nucleotides) under uncultured bacterium. RNAcentral's name for it is "partial 16S ribosomal RNA". It matches the Rfam family "Bacterial small subunit ribosomal RNA", at positions 29 to 507 of the family's 1533-position model. The record is from RNAcentral.